This 73-nucleotide transfer RNA is filed under the name compost metagenome. Its description in RNAcentral is "tRNA-Cys". It matches the Rfam family "tRNA". From Rfam's summary of the family: Transfer RNA (tRNA) molecules are approximately 80 nucleotides in length. Their secondary structure includes four short double-helical elements and three loops (D, anti-codon, and T loops). The record is from RNAcentral.
GCACCUAUCGCCAAGUGGCUAAGGCCGUGGACUGCAAAUCCACUAUCGUUGGUUCGAAUCCGACUAGGUGCUC